GAUCAAUUUUGUUAUUUCUUCAGGGAGCUCUCCAUAUAAAUUGUUUCCUGAAAGGUCUAUGCUAGUCAGAAGGGAAAGAGUCUUGGUGUAUACAAGAGGCUGGCCAUACAUGUUCACAGCUAAGUUUUCUUGGUAGUACUGUGUCAUGUAUGAUCCAUAGAACAAAUAGAUGUUUACAGUUUGUUGUCGAGCCAUGGCUUUAAGAUCUCCAAAGCUAGCAGGAAUGGUGCAGUUCAACUUGUUUUCUGCCAGGUCCAGAACUUGCAGGGAACUCAAAUUUGAAAGCAAUAAGGGAAUUUCCCCAAAAAAGUUGUUUGACCUCAGGCUAAG
RNAcentral lists this unclassified non-coding RNA (330 nucleotides) under Hevea brasiliensis (rubber tree). Lineage: Eukaryota; Viridiplantae; Streptophyta; Magnoliopsida; Malpighiales; Euphorbiaceae. The record is from RNAcentral.